Molecule: ribosomal RNA, 675 nt
Filed under: uncultured Bacillota bacterium
Lineage: Bacteria; Bacillati; Bacillota
Description: bacterial SSU rRNA
Rfam family: Bacterial small subunit ribosomal RNA
Source: RNAcentral
GGGGUAUCGACCCCCCCUGUGCCGGAGUUAACACAAUAAGUAUCCCACCUGGGGAGUACGACCGCAAGGUUGAAACUCAAAGGAAUUGACGGGGGCCCGCACAAGCAGUGGAGCAUGUGGUUUAAUUCGAAGCAACGCGAAGAACCUUACCAGGACUUGACAUCCCUUGAACGCUUUAGAGAUAAAGUUUUCCUUCGGGACAAGGAGACAGGUGGUGCAUGGUUGUCGUCAGCUCGUGUCGUGAGAUGUUGGGUUAAGUCCCGCAACGAGCGCAACCCCUGUUGUUAGUUGCCAUCAUUAAGUUGGGCACUCUAGCAAGACUGCCGGUGAUAAAUCGGAGGAAGGUGGGGACGACGUCAAAUCAUCAUGCCCCUUAUGUCCUGGGCUACACACGUACUACAAUGGCUACUACAGCAGGAAGCGAAGCCGCGAGGUGGAGCAAAUCCCCAAAAGUAGCCCCAGUUCGGAUUGUAGGCUGAAACUCGCCUACAUGAAGUCGGAAUUGCUAGUAAUUGCAGGUCAGCAUACUGCAGUGAAUACGUUCCCGGGCCUUGUACACACCGCCCGUCACACCAUGAGAGUUUGUAACACCCGAAGUCGGUAGUCUAACCGUAAGGAGGACGCCGCCGAAGGUGGGACAGAUGAUUAGGGUGAAGUCGUAACAAGGUAACCGUA